CUGUUGGUGCCCCAAGCCCAGGGAAGAACCUGCCCCAGGGACAGAGCUGCUGUCAGCCAGGGCUCAGAGCCUGCUCAGGGCACAGGCUGACUCUGAUGGAGCAGCUUUGUGUUCAUUCAAACCCCAUGACUCCAGUUGGUGAUUAUCUGCUGCUGGCAUCCCUCUGCUGCCAAGAAGCCUCUACCAACAUCCCUGUCCUGCUGUUCCAGGCACUGCAGAUCUGUACAGCCUGAGGCAGGAGGUGGGCAGAGAGAAGGGAACUGCCUUGAUAAAGGUCACAGAGCAGAAGGAAAACCAGCACCCUGAACCCUGCAAAGGCUCCAGACAAUUUGUCAAGCAGCCACUCAUCUCAGAGUCCAUCCUGGCCAAAUCUGCUGAGGACGUGAGCAACAGUGUUUUAAUGGGUACAUCUCCCACUGCGAAUCUGCUUCUCCAGAGCAGCUUUCUCACUGACCUGAAAGGCAGCAAUCGUGGCUCGUGUGUAAAUGUGUGUGACAGCGCUAAUGCACGGUAAUGGCUCCAGCACAUCCAGCGGGGCUGGCAGCACCGGCAGCUCGGGAUGGGUGCUCUGCUCCCCCAGCACAGAGGGAGAAGAUUGUUAAAAAUUAAUUCUCAUCUGAUGACUGCUAAUUAUCUUAGAGGCUGGUGGUAAAGUGCAGCAAAGGGACCAAAGACAGCGCUCAAGAAGAGCCCUGCGGGAGGAAUGCCGGCUUGGAUGGUGCCACUGAGCGGGAUCAGACGGAGGAUUUUAACUGAUGCUCCUCCAAUAGGAUGUCUG
Molecule: long non-coding RNA, 778 nt
Organism: Catharus ustulatus (Swainson's thrush)
Lineage: Eukaryota; Metazoa; Chordata; Aves; Passeriformes; Turdidae
Exons: 3
Source: RefSeq, a predicted model, not a curated record